UACGUAGGGUGCGAGCGUUAAUCGGAAUUACUGGGCGUAAAGCGUGCGCAGGCGGUUAUGUAAGACAGAUGUGAAAUCCCCGGGCUCAACCUGGGAACUGCAUUAGUGACUGCAUAGCUGGAGUACGGCAGAGGGGGAUGGAAUUCCGCGUGUAGCAGUGAAAUGCGUAGAUAUGCGGAGGAACACCGAUGGCGAAGGCAAUCCCCUGGGCCUGUACUGACGCUCAUGCACGAAAGCGUGGGGAGCAAACAGG
This 253-nucleotide ribosomal RNA is filed under the name Curvibacter sp. RNAcentral describes it as "partial 16S ribosomal RNA". It matches the Rfam family "Bacterial small subunit ribosomal RNA", at positions 524 to 776 of the family's 1533-position model. Lineage: Bacteria; Pseudomonadati; Pseudomonadota; Betaproteobacteria; Burkholderiales; Comamonadaceae. RNAcentral also lists the same sequence under 1 other name. The record is from RNAcentral.